RNAcentral lists this ribosomal RNA (404 nucleotides) under uncultured eukaryote. Its description in RNAcentral is "SSU rRNA". It matches the Rfam family "Eukaryotic small subunit ribosomal RNA", at positions 587 to 1000 of the family's 1831-position model. The record is from RNAcentral.
AGCUCCAAUAGCGUAUAUUAAAGUUGUUGCAGUUAAAAGCUCGUAGUUGAAUUUCUGGUGAGUGAGAGUGGUCCGAUCAAUGAUUGGUGCUUGCUCUCGCUGGCCAUCCUUGGGUUUAGCCAGUCUGGCAUUAAGUUGUCGGGCUGGGGAUGCCCAUCGUUUACUGUGAAAAAUUAGAGUGUUCAAAGCAGACUUAUGUCGUUGAAUAUAUUAGCAUGGAAUAAUAAGAUAGGACUACAGUGCUAUUUUGUUGGUUUGCGCACCGUGGUAAUGAUGAAUAGGGACAGUUGUGGGUAUUCGUAUUCACUUGUAAGAGGUGAAAUUCUUAGAUUAAGGGAAGACGAACUACUGCGAAAGCAUUUACCAAGGAUGUUUUCAUUAAUCAAGAACGAAAGUUAAGAACG